CUUUAUCUCCACAAGUUCAAUUAUUUUGAUUUUUGGCUCCCACAAGUAAGUGAGAACAUGCAAAAUUUGUCUUUCUGUGCCUGGCUUAUCUCACUUAACAUAAUGACCUCCAGUUCCAUCAUGUUGUUGCAAAUGACAGGAUCUCAUUCCUUUUGUGACUGAACAGUACUCUACUAUGUGUAUGUAUCACAUUUUCUUCAUCUACUCAUCUGAUGAUGAAUACUUAGGUUGCUUCCAAAUCUUAGCUAUUGUGAACAGUGCAGCAACAAACACAGGAGUGCACAUAUCUCUUCAAUAUACUGCUUUCCCUUCUUCUGGGCAGAUACCUAGGAGUGGGACUGCUGGGUUGUAUGGUAGCUCUAUUUUUAGUUUUUUGAGGAAUCUCCAAACUGUUCUCCAUAGUGGUAGUACUAAUUACAUUCCAACUAGCAGUGUAGGAGCCUUCACUAUGCUCCACAUCCUCGCCAGCAUCAUUACUUGUCUUUUGGAUAUAAGCCAUUUUAACUGGGGUGAGAUGGUAUCUCACUGAAGUUUUGAUUUGCAUUUCUCUGAUGAUCAAUGAUGCUGAGUAUUUUUCAUAUACUUGUUUGCCAUUUAUAUGCCUUCUUUUGACAAAUGUCUGUUCAGGUCUUCUGCCUAUUUUUAAUUGGAUUAUUAGUUUUUUUCCUACAGAGUUGUUUGAAUUCCUUACAUAUUCUGAUUAUUAAUCUCUUAUCAGAUGGUUAGUUUGCAAAUAUUUUCUCCCUUCUGUGGGUUUAACUACAUAUUUUAAUACAACAUAAUGGUUCUCUUUGUCAGAUGAAAUGUUGAGCUGGUUGGCUCCUGUCACAUGGUAUAGAGCAGAGUCCAUUUGCAAUACACAAGAAGAGAAGCAUAACAUCAACCUGGUGACAAAUAGAGAUUGUGUGUUUACUACAGUCUGAAGAAACUUUGUCCUGUGAGUAUAUUAGAGUCUAAUGAGGGCAAUAAAUAAAUAGCAAUACUCAAAACAGCCACAUGGUCCUGAAGGAUGACUGAAUGAGGAGUAUAACUAUAGACACCUAAUGGACACUGGGAGACAAUGCUCUACUUUAAUAUUGAUUCCACCAGGUGAAAUUUACUGGGUUGAGUAUUGUCUUGCAUCUUUUGAUCCCUUCAACUGUGUUGAUCAAAGUUCUUGUAUGUGGAAUCCUGACCUAAUCCAUCUACAGAAUAAAAAAGUUCUUUU
This is a long non-coding RNA of Homo sapiens (human), 1207 nucleotides long. Lineage: Eukaryota; Metazoa; Chordata; Mammalia; Primates; Hominidae. The record is from Ensembl.